This 254-nucleotide ribosomal RNA is filed under the name uncultured bacterium. Its description in RNAcentral is "partial 16S ribosomal RNA". It matches the Rfam family "Bacterial small subunit ribosomal RNA", at positions 524 to 776 of the family's 1533-position model. The record is from RNAcentral.
UACGUAGGGGGGCAAGCGUUGUCCGGAUUUAUUGGGCGUAAAGAGCGUGUAGGCGGCCAGGUAGGUCAGCUGUGAAAACUCGAGGCUCAACCUCGAGACGCCGGUUGAAACCAUCUGGCUAGAGUCCGGAAGAGGAGAGUGGAAUUCCUGGUGUAGCGGUGAAAUGCGCAGAUAUCAGGAAGAACACCCGUGGCUAAGGCGGCUCUCUAGUACGGUACUGACGCUGAGACGCGAAAGCGUGGGGAGCAAACAGG